Long non-coding RNA from Aedes albopictus (Asian tiger mosquito), 1857 nucleotides. RefSeq lists it as uncharacterized. The record is from RefSeq and is a predicted model, not a curated record. NCBI's taxonomy places the organism in Eukaryota, Metazoa, Arthropoda, Insecta, Diptera, Culicidae. The transcript is spliced from 2 exons.
AGUACAGUAGACGUUCGAUAACUGCAACGUGUUUACGUUUCACUUAGCGAACGAAAUUCGGUAACUGCAACGACUGACAGAUGUCAACAAGUUGUCAAACGACAAAAAAUAACCGUGAACGUGAUCCGACUGUUCAUUUGGGCUAACAUGGCGCACCAUUUUGACGUUUGGCGGUGCGAUAACUGCAAAUUUGUUGCACUUACCGGACUUGCAGUUAAAAAGCAUUGCAGUUAAACCGUUUGCACCGACCGAACGUCUACUGUAUUUAUUGUUCGUGCAGUUGAAAAUCGGAAUUUUUGACACGCGAAAAUCGAUUUUUCUCCUAAACCGUGUGUCCGACGUACGUCGGGCACAGUGCGCUGGAUAGAGGGCCAGGUCCGCUGUCCAGCGCACUAUUAGCGGAGUGGUUGAUGUGAUUGAUUUGGGCUUCAAUUUUGAUGUAGCUUGUACACCUUCACUCCUCCUCAAGUUGCAACGAUUGAAGUCCCACCUUCUUCCGGUAGCACUCCAGUUUCACCCUCGACAAAGGUUUAGUCAGGGCGUCGGCGAUCAUUGAUCCUGUAGGACAGUAUUCGACAUGGUUAACGUUCCUACUCACGAGAUCCCGGAUGAAGUUAAACCGUGUGUCGAUGUGCUUGGUCCUUCGGCUUCCUCCUUCGGUUCGUAGCAUCGCUAUACAGCUCUGAUUAUCUUCCCGGACGAUGAUCGGUCCAGUUGGUCUUUCCUCAACGUCCUUCAUCAACUUCUGCAGCCAGAGCAACUCUUGGCAGGCCUCAGCUAAGGCCACAUAUUCCGCCUCAGUGGAAGACAGCGAUAUGCACUGCUGCUUUCUGGCAGCCCAGGAAAUUGGUCCUCCUAAGUGGAAGAUGAAUCCCGAGUUAGAUUUGCGGUCUCGAUGGUCUCCGGCACAGUCGGCGUUAACAUGUGCUUCCAGUUGUCCAGGACAUCCAAGCUCCAGCUUCAAAUCUGCAGUCGACUUCAAGUACCGCAGCGUUCGUUUGGCCUCCGUCCAAUCAGCCUGGGUAGGAUUACCCAGUCAACACGAAGUCGUAUAUGAUGUGGAAUAGGAUACUAAAGUGGAGGCCGUAUACGUACAUGCUUCAAUUUGACCGCGUGUAAAGAGUAUGCAUAUCGCCUCCACUUUAGCAUCCUAUUGAACAUCAUAUGCAAUCGUGUGUUGGCUGGGUACUUACCUUUCGUCCCAGAAUAGACGCGCUGAUUGCUAUAUCGGGCCUGGUGUUUACCGCAACAUACAGCAAAGCACCGACUAGGCUUUGGAAAUCGUCCUUCCGUAUACGCAUAGGCUCCUCCUCAUGAUCUGAGAAAUGUCAAACAUUUUCAUGGAUAGCUUCGUUGGUAUAAUAAAGAAUUGCGACCAUCGUUUCAAAACAAAUUCCAACUGUUGACGUCACGGUAUUUGUAAUAUCAAUCAGCAGAACUGUAAUACAUCACAGAGAAAUACUAGAAUAAAAUAACCAUACACAAUUUUACUACACAAAUAUAUAUAUUUGCACGAUCUUGAAACAAUUGAAAAUAAAGUAAACAAUGUUGAGGCAAAAUUUAUCGAAAACUUUUCCAUAAUUUAAUCAUAAACAAACAUCUCCGGUUCUACGCAAUUAUUUUCACUUUUUGCUCUAGACACUUGAUUAUAAAUGCAUUACUCUUUUCUUUACUGCUAGCCCAAAUUUCGACCACAAAUGUCUAAAUUGAACAAAUGCACUCUGGAGAGCGAAACUACAACUCAAGAAGAUAAUAAAAGUGACCCCACUAUGCGCUGCUAUAAGUGGUCCAUCUCCGCGGUUGCAAUUACAUAUUGACAACCAUUUGGCUUCGGGUUUUACUUCGUAGGGGAAAACU